Molecule: long non-coding RNA, 1362 nt
Organism: Xenopus tropicalis (tropical clawed frog)
Lineage: Eukaryota; Metazoa; Chordata; Amphibia; Anura; Pipidae
Exons: 9
Source: RefSeq, a predicted model, not a curated record
UUACAGCUCUGCAGCAGACAGAGGGAGAAGACAGCAUAAUUAAGAAAGAAAUAAUACAAAAUGCUAAUUGAAAGAGAAACAGUAAAGGUGAGGUAUCUGCAGUUUUCUCAGAAAGCCAGACAUCACCGUAUGUACAGCAGACAACUGUGAAAGUGAGACCUCCACUGGACUUUGGAUUUCUCCCAAGGUAAACGGUGACGGGCCAGUGCGACCCUAGGUAAAUGAUAAUGUUCUUGCUACUUGAGAUCUUCUAACCAGGGUGGUAGACAGAGGAGGCAGCUGGAACAAGUGAAGCACGUUCAUGCUGUAACCAUCGUUACCACUCAAAAAGCUGAACGACCCUUUGUAAAUCUGCUUGUAUGAUUUAUUUAAAAGGAUGUUUCCAGUGCUCCGUCUACAUUCUAUGGAUAUUGGUUAAAGUUACAACUGGAUCGGGGGGUUGUUGUGACGUGGUAGCACGGUGCAUACAUUUGCAGUUCAACUUAUCUGGAUACCUUUGCAGAGGAAUACGUGGCUUACAGUCAUAGACUGUGUUAUCAGAUGUUUGUGUCAGAAGGAAUAUUGUGAGGAACUGGGUGACUGAGAAUGGCUGCAGCUGCUACUUGUCUGCAACAGGACCACAUAACUGGGAGAAAAAGAAUGAAUAUGUACAUACCCAAGGACAAGCUGUAUCCCUGCUUGCACACUACAUGCGACCAUUCAGCUUCUUUUAGAUUAAGGCCUCCUGCACAGGGGUGACAUUCACAUAACAAAACGUCCCGUGCAUCAGAGGAAAAAAAGACUUGAAAGUGUUCAGGAAAUAAAUCAAUUUAUUGUUUCCAGAGUACUUGUUGCAGAGAUGAAACGCAGCUCAGCAUUAAACAGGAUAUGAUAUUGUGCAGUGUUUUUUGUUUUUUUUUCUUUGUUAUAUUAUCCCGUAUAUAACUAUAUUAAACUACAGGGUUUUGCUUUAUUCCCUAUGCCACAGCUGUUUUGCAUCCAAGGUAAUUGUGUUUUAAUGAGAAUACUACAAAUGUUAAUACAAGUAAGCAAAACAAAACAUCUACUUUAUUCUGGUGUUGUAUUAGAAGGUUUAUAUUUUUCAUUUCCAGUGUUGCUGUUGUAAAUACUGUUAGAAUAUAAUGAAAGUAAAUAAUUGACUAAAAUGCUAAAUUUGUUUUAAUUUAAGUCUGUUUUACCCAUUAAAUUGUAGGCAAGUUUUUCUUUCUUAUUUGUAUACCAGACCCAAUUCUUAAUCAGUGUAGACCUUGCUCUGCACCCACGUAAGUCUCCUGCAGCUUUUCUGAUUUAUUAAUUCUCUGUUGGAUUCAACUGCCUCAUAAACUGUUAUGAUUAUUGAAAAGCAAUAUAUUUUGAAAUGUG